CGGCAAAAGCUCAAAUUUGAAAUCUGGUACCUUUGGUGCCCGAGUUGUAAUUUGGAGAGUACCACUUUGGGACUGUACUUUGCCUAUGUUCCUUGGAACAGGACGUCAUGGAGGGUGAGAAUCCCGUGUGGCGAGGGUGUCAGUUCUUUGUAAAGGGUGCUCGAAGAGUCGAGUUGUUUGGGAAUGCAGCUCUAAGUGGGUGGUAAAUUCCAUCUAAAGCUAAAUACAGGCGAGAGACCGAUAGCGAACAAGUACAGUGAUGGAAAGAUGAAAAGAACUUUGAAAAGAGAGUGAAAAAGUACGUGAAAUUGUUGAAAGGGAAGGGCAUUUGAUCAGACAUGGUGUUUUGCGCCCCUUGCCUCUCGUGGGCUUGGGACUCUCGCAGCUCACUGGGCCAGCAUCGGUUUUGGCGGCCGGAAAAAACCUAGGGAAUGUGGCUCUGCGCCUCGGUGUAGAGUGUUAUAGCCCUGGGGAAUACGGCCAGCCGGGACCGAGGA
RNAcentral lists this ribosomal RNA (497 nucleotides) under Nakaseomyces glabratus. RNAcentral's name for it is "LSU rRNA". It matches the Rfam family "Eukaryotic large subunit ribosomal RNA", at positions 99 to 593 of the family's 3401-position model. Lineage: Eukaryota; Fungi; Ascomycota; Saccharomycetes; Saccharomycetales; Saccharomycetaceae. The record is from RNAcentral.